UACGUAGGGUGCGAGCGUUGUCCGGAAUUAUUGGGCGUAAAGAGCUCGUAGGCGGUCUGUCGCGUCUGCUGUGAAAAACUCGGGGGCUUAACCCCCGGGCCUGCAGUGGGUACGGGCAGACUAGAGUGCGGUAGGGGAGACUGGAAUUCCCGGUGUAGCGGUGAAAUGCGUAGAGAUCGGGAGGAACACCAGUGGCGAAGGCGGCCUUCUGGACCAGCACUGACACUCAAGCACGAAAGCGUGGGGAGCAAACAGGG
This 257-nucleotide ribosomal RNA is filed under the name uncultured bacterium. RNAcentral's name for it is "partial 16S ribosomal RNA". It matches the Rfam family "Bacterial small subunit ribosomal RNA", at positions 524 to 777 of the family's 1533-position model. The record is from RNAcentral.